UCCCGGAAGUUAGCGGCGGACGGGUGAGUAACACGUGGGUAACCUGCCUGUAAGACUGGGAUAACUCCGGGAAACCGGAGCUAAUACCGGAUAUUUUCUUGAACCGCAUGGUUCAAGAAUGAAAGACGGUUUCGGCUGUCACUUACAGAUGGACCCGCGGCGCAUUAGCUAGUUGGUGAGGUAAUGGCUCACCAAGGCGACGAUGCGUAGCCGACCUGAGAGGGUGAUCGGCCACACUGGGACUGAGACACGGCCCAGACUCCUACGGGAGGCAGCAGUAGGGAAUCUUCCGCAAUGGACGAAAGUCUGACGGAGCAACGCCGCGUGAGUGAUGAAGGUUUUCGGAUCGUAAAGCUCUGUUGUUAGGGAAGAACAAGUACGAGAGUAACUGCUCGUACCUUGACGGUACCUAACCAGAAAGCCACGGCUAACUACGUGCCAGCAGCCGCGGUAAUACGUAGGUGGCAAGCGUUGUCCGGAAUUAUUGGGCGUAAAGGGCUCGCAGGCGGUUUCUUAAGUCUGAUGUGAAAGCCCCCGGCUCAACCGGGGAAGGUCAUUGGAAACUGGGGAACUUGAGUGCAGAAGAGGAGAGUGGAAUUCCACGUGUAGCGGUGAAAUGCGUAGAGAUGUGGAGGAACACCAGUGGCGAAGGCGACUCUCUGGUCUGUAACUGA
Molecule: ribosomal RNA, 674 nt
Filed under: Bacillus sp. (in: firmicutes)
Lineage: Bacteria; Bacillati; Bacillota; Bacilli; Caryophanales; Bacillaceae
Description: bacterial SSU rRNA
Rfam family: Bacterial small subunit ribosomal RNA
Source: RNAcentral